GCGCCCGUGGCGGAAUCGGCAGACGCGCACGUUUGAGGGGCGUGUGAGCAAUCGUACCAGUUCAAGUCUGGUCGGGCGCACCA
This 83-nucleotide transfer RNA is filed under the name Clostridium aminobutyricum. Its description in RNAcentral is "tRNA-Leu". The record is from RNAcentral. Lineage: Bacteria; Bacillati; Bacillota; Clostridia; Eubacteriales; Clostridiaceae.